Molecule: long non-coding RNA, 1201 nt
Filed under: Pan troglodytes (chimpanzee)
Lineage: Eukaryota; Metazoa; Chordata; Mammalia; Primates; Hominidae
Description: long non-coding RNA NONPTRT005416
Source: RNAcentral
CUGUGUUGUUUGCUAAGUGAGCAAAUGACCUCCUGCAGGAACAGACGUGGCUGAAACCACCCCAAAUUGCUCUCCCCAACCCCUUCUCCUGCUCUCUUCCAUCCAACCCCCAUACAAACAAAGGAAUAUCAAAUGUCCACUUGCUGGGAGGAUUCUACUCCCACUGAGAUAGAAAAAAGGAUGUGUCGGACCCUCGGAUCAGAGCAUAUCAUCUGCUCUCUCAUCGAAGGCAGGGACCGAAUGACCCGUGACUGGAAAUCUCGAGGCCAGGCUUAGGCCUAUUAGAAAAAUAUGGAACAAUUAUGAAUGGCAGGAAAAUUGUUUUUUGUUUGCUUUGGCAGAGAGAAGAAAACCCUCCUGGAGCCUGGAUUUAAGGUGGGGAGAAGACAGGGAGGAGACUGCAGUGUGUGCCAAGUGUCCUGGGAAAAGAACUCAUGUUUUCUGUGGCCCUGCUAAGGCAUGGUGCGAGACACCUUCAUCGAUGCAGCAGGGGCUCCCCAAGCACCUUCUGCACACUCAGCGCUGAUCUGGGUGCAGGGACACAGCCAGACUGUCUGCCCCAAAUCUGGGUUAGUCCAAAGUUGGAGCAGACAGACAAGGUCCCUGCCCCCAGGGAGGAGGAAAGGUAAGAUGAAUGAAAGCAAACAAUAAGGAAGAAUCUCAGCGAUGACUGCUAUGAGAAAGUGGAGCCAGGUGAGCUGUGAGGGAGGGGCAUGCCCUAGGGGCUGGCGGGGGGACCUGAGAGAGGAGAUCUAGCCUGCCAUUCCAAAUGGGAAGAGCAUUUUGGGUGGCAGGAACUCUGCCAGAAUGCUCACCUGCACCCUGGCCUCUUGGCCUCACCCGAAGCCUAGGCUCUGAAUUUUGUUUUCCCCAUUGUACAGGCAAGGAAACUGAGGCUUAGAGAGAGAAAGUGCUUUGCCCAAGGCCCAGGGCAGCGGGAAGAUUAGAGCCAGCACUCUAAGGACUGCAGUCCUUUCUGCGUUCUAAUCUUUGUGCCUUGGAUCCAGACCAAAGGAUAGGGUAAUUGACACGUCACUUCUUCCCAGGCCCAGUGAAGUGGGAAAGUUGGUGUGACGUUUUCCAGAUCCUCCGCAGGAAUGGCCCACAAGACCCAGAGCCUGGCAAACUGCAUGGGCAGUGCCCAAAAUUGCCACCCCAGGAGCAGAGGCCACUGAUGUGCAGCAGUUUAAAUGUUGCCCUA